CCUGUGACAGGGUUGGGCGUGCUCGCAGCAGGGCACACAGCGGCUUCAAUGCGAGCGCUGCCGGAGCACAGGCCAGCUUCCCCUGGGCUGCGAGUGGACGGGCGAGUUCACAAGGGACUUCAGCUGAUACAAGGUAGGAAUGAAAUACCCCAGCAGCUACUCUGGAUACUGAGAACAUAAUGUACUUCAGAGCCCUGGCUUUCCAUGCCAAUUCAUCCUCACUGUUAAAACCCCACAUACAAGCAACAAACACUGUCCCCUGAAGCCAACAACAAUGCCUAUGACAGAAGUGUCAUUGAGAAACACACUGUGAUCUGUAUAUCCACACAGGCUAAAGCCAUCCUCAGUGCUGGCUGAAGUGCUAGUGACUUCUCUACCGUACAUCUUCUACUCUGGGAAACUUUAAACAAAAACCCUCGAGGGAUCAACGACCAUCUGGAGUUCCCAUUCUAGGAGAUCAGUGACUUGAGGCAAGUCUUUUUCUCUUCAGGAAAAACCCAAAAGCACAACAGGCUUUUAAUCAGCCUUCUCUACUUAGUGCCACUUGGGGCAUGUCAGGAAUGCCAGAGCAGCAUUGAUGCACCAGCAGGUAUCAGUAAAGAGUUGGGAUUGCCACGACCUUUAAGAACCACCUGUGGUGACAUCAGGCCUGAAAGGUCAGAGGAUCAAGGAUCGUAUAGGCUAAUUAUAGGUAAAUACAAUUAAGUAUUGUCAGGCAGUAAGUAUUAGAUGGGAGGUUUUGCUAAGCAAUUUUAAGUACUUUUGCAUAAUCUAAUGACAUUGUUAUUCAAUAAUUGCCAGCAAAACAAAGCAAUUUAGAACCCAAUUAAUUUCCCAGUGUCAAUUUUUGCAAAGCUAAAUUCAAAAUAAAUGCACACCCAAAACCACUUACUGUUCAUUGCACUGAAUGAAAGCUGCAGCUAACAGCACCUAUUGGAGCUAAACACAAAUACCACACUUUGCUCACUUCCUUAUUGAAGUUUGUCAACUGGAGUUGACCGGCAUCUAUUGGAAUAAAACCACUGCAAGCCCUUUUCCCACCCUCUCCUCCUGCUGUCCCCGACUCCUCACACAGCUGCACGUGCAAAACAGCACAAGUGAGCAGUGGGAAGAAGAAAAUAAAAAGCUGCAGUGUUGCAGUUUUCCUUGGAAGCAGAGACUAAGGAGCCUUCAUCCUGAUUUUAACUCACCUCUGAGACCCAAUGGCCCACAGACACACAGCAUCAACUGCUGACAAUGCAGAGUAGGAGUCACACUGGAUAAAUUAUUCACAUAUUCCAUUUCACCACUGGACUAUACCUGAAAUGAUGCAUUGUUAAACCUCCUCCUAAGCACACCCUCCCUUU
Molecule: long non-coding RNA, 1346 nt
Organism: Pezoporus occidentalis (night parrot)
Lineage: Eukaryota; Metazoa; Chordata; Aves; Psittaciformes; Psittacidae
Exons: 3
Source: RefSeq, a predicted model, not a curated record